This 297-nucleotide ribosomal RNA is filed under the name Macrococcus sp. RNAcentral describes it as "partial 16S ribosomal RNA". It matches the Rfam family "Bacterial small subunit ribosomal RNA", at positions 565 to 860 of the family's 1533-position model. The record is from RNAcentral. Lineage: Bacteria; Bacillati; Bacillota; Bacilli; Caryophanales; Staphylococcaceae.
GCGCGCGUAGGCGGUCUCUUAAGUCUGAUGUGAAAGCCCCCGGCUCAACCGGGGAGGGUCAUUGGAAACUGGGAGACUUGAGUGCAGAAGAGGAGAGUGGAAUUCCAUGUGUAGCGGUGAAAUGCGCAGAGAUAUGGAGGAACACCAGUGGCGAAGGCGGCUCUCUGGUCUGUAACUGACGCUGAGGUGCGAAAGCGUGGGGAUCAAACAGGAUUAGAUACCCUGGUAGUCCACGCCGUAAACGAUGAGUGCUAAGUGUUGGGGGGUUUCCGCCCCUCAGUGCUGCAGCUAACGCAU